RNAcentral lists this ribosomal RNA (253 nucleotides) under uncultured bacterium. RNAcentral describes it as "partial 16S ribosomal RNA". It matches the Rfam family "Bacterial small subunit ribosomal RNA", at positions 524 to 776 of the family's 1533-position model. The record is from RNAcentral.
UACAGAGGGUGCGAGCGUUGUCCGGAAUCACUGGGCGUAAAGGGCGCGUAGGCGGCUUGAUAAGGUUGCGGUGAAAGCCCGGGGCUCAACCCCGGGUCGGCCGUGGCAACUGUCGAGCUGGAGCACUGUAGAGGCAGGUGGAAUUCCGGGUGUAGCGGUGGAAUGCGCAGAUAUCAGGAAGAACACCCGUGGCGAAGGCGGCUCUCUGGAACGCAACUGACGCUGAGACGCGAAAGCGUGGGGAGCAAACAGG